RNAcentral lists this ribosomal RNA (421 nucleotides) under uncultured bacterium. Its description in RNAcentral is "bacterial SSU rRNA". It matches the Rfam family "Bacterial small subunit ribosomal RNA", at positions 355 to 776 of the family's 1533-position model. The record is from RNAcentral.
UGGGGAAUCUUGCGCAAUGGACGAAAGUCUGACGCAGCGACGCCGCGUGGGGGAUGAAGGCUUUCGGGUUGUAAACCCCUGUUGCCCGGGACGAACUUCUCCUUUCGAGGAGAUUGACGGUACCGGGUGAGGAAGCACCGGCUAACUCUGUGCCAGCAGCCGCGGUAAUACAGAGGGUGCGAGCGUUGUCCGGAAUCACUGGGCGUAAAGGGCGCGUAGGUGGCGCCCCAAGUCAGUGGUGAAAGCUCGAUGCUCAACAUCGAGUCGGCCACUGAGACUGGGGGGCUCGAGCACUGUAGAGGCAGAUGGAAUUCCGGGUGUAGCGGUGGAAUGCGUAGAGAUCCGGAAGAACACCGGUGGCGAAGGCGGUCUGCUGGGCAGUAGCUGACACUGAGGCGCGACAGCGUGGGGAGCAAACAGG